CCUACGGGGGGCAGCAGUGAGGAAUAUUGGUCAAUGGCCGGAAGGCUGAACCAGCCAUGCCGCGUGAAGGUCAGUGCCCUAUGGGCGUUAAACUUCUUUUGUGCGGGAGCAAUAAUGGUCACGUGUGGCCAGACGAGAGUACCGUACGAAUAAGCAUCGGCUAACUACGUGCCAGCAGCCGCGGUAAUACGGGGGAUGCAAGCGUUAUCCGGAUUUAUUGGGUUUAAAGGGUGCGUAGGCUGUGAGGUAAGUCAGCGGUGAAAUGCCCCCGCUCAACGGGGUGAAGUGCCAUUGAUAUUGCCUUGCUGGAAUGCGGAUGCCGUGGGAGGAAUGUGUGGUGUAGCGGUGAAAUGCAUAGAUAUCACACAGAACACCGAUUGCGAAGGCAGCUCACGAAUCCGCGAUUGACGCUGAUGCACGAAAGCGUGGGUAUCAAACAGGAUUAGAUACCCCAGUAGUC
RNAcentral lists this ribosomal RNA (460 nucleotides) under uncultured bacterium. RNAcentral's name for it is "partial 16S ribosomal RNA". It matches the Rfam family "Bacterial small subunit ribosomal RNA", at positions 338 to 795 of the family's 1533-position model. The record is from RNAcentral.